Molecule: long non-coding RNA, 429 nt
Organism: Oreochromis aureus
Lineage: Eukaryota; Metazoa; Chordata; Actinopteri; Cichliformes; Cichlidae
Source: Ensembl
CACUAACAGGAGCGUGGAAGACUCCAGAAUCCACUCUGGCUGGAAUCCGGUGGAUACAGCAGUGUUACAGGUACAGUACGUGAUAUUAAGGGCAGAAGGUCAUCACUGGGGGAAGACAAGAAGCAGACGUACUUCCAAGAGGGAGCUGCAGUGAGGACACAGCCUGGUCACUGAGGUCAGAGGAGGCACUGAAAGGUUUCCCUAAUAGUUCCUGGUGAAUCAAAGCAGGACCAUAAAGGUUGCUGGACUGCAUGAUGGCCUUACCCCUGAGCAGUCAUCCUGUUAAAGGAGGAACCAGUUAGAAGCUGUUUUCAAAGUAGCUGAGCAGAUUUCACCUCAAGUAAGCGAUUAACUGUUUGUUUGUUUGUUCUGCCACUUAAAGAGCAUUUAAGGACGUCUUUUGAGUGUUUAGUUGAAUUAAUUCUACUG